GGUUCGUGAUGACAAUGGACCUUAUCUGACCAUUAUGAUUUUAAAAUUUGAGCUUAAAAUGACUCUGAAAUC
Molecule: small nucleolar RNA, 72 nt
Organism: Trichechus manatus latirostris (Florida manatee)
Lineage: Eukaryota; Metazoa; Chordata; Mammalia; Sirenia; Trichechidae
Product: small nucleolar RNA SNORD107
Exons: 1
Source: RefSeq, a predicted model, not a curated record